GUGAGGAAUAUUGGUCAAUGGGCGGGAGCCUGAACCAGCCAAGUCGCGUGAAGGGAGAAGGAUCUAUGGUUCGUAAACUUCUUUUGCAGGGGAAUAAAGUGCAGGACGUGUCCUGUUUUGUAUGUACCCUGAGAAUAAGGAUCGGCUAACUCCGUGCCAGCAGCCGCGGUAAUACGGAGGAUCCGAGCGUUAUCCGGAUUUAUUGGGUUUAAAGGGUGCGUAGGUGGUGUGAUAAGUCAGCGGUGAAAGUUUGCAGCUUAACUGUAAAAAUGCCGUUGAAACUGUCGGACUUGAGUGUAAAUGAGGUAGGCGGAAUGCGUGGUGUAGCGGUGAAAUGCAUAGAUAUCACGCAGAACUCCGAUUGCGAAGGCAGCUUACUAAGCUACAACUGACACUGAAGCACGAAAGCGUGGGGAUCAAACAGGAUUAGAAACCCCGGUAGUCC
This 445-nucleotide ribosomal RNA is filed under the name uncultured bacterium. RNAcentral's name for it is "partial 16S ribosomal RNA". It matches the Rfam family "Bacterial small subunit ribosomal RNA", at positions 354 to 796 of the family's 1533-position model. The record is from RNAcentral.